This 253-nucleotide ribosomal RNA is filed under the name uncultured bacterium. RNAcentral's name for it is "partial 16S ribosomal RNA". It matches the Rfam family "Bacterial small subunit ribosomal RNA", at positions 524 to 776 of the family's 1533-position model. The record is from RNAcentral.
UACGUAGGGUGCGAGCGUUAAUCGGAAUUACUGGGCGUAAAGCGUGCGCAGGCGGCUUUGCAAGACAGAUGUGAAAUCCCCGGGCUCAACUUGGGAACUGCACUUGUGACUGCAUAGCUAGAGUACGGUAGAGGGGAGUGGAAUUCCGCGUGUAGCAGUGAAAUGCGUAGAUAUGCGGAGGAACACCGAUGGCGAAGGCAGCUCCCUGGACCUGUACUGACGCUCAUGCACGAAAGCGUGGGGAGCAAACAGG